CUCUUUCUCGAUUCAGUGGAUGGUGGUGCAUGGCCGUUCUUAGUUGGUGGAGYGAUCUGUCUGGUUAAUUCCGAUAACGAACGAGACUCUCCCCUGCUAACUAGUCGGUUGGAUCUUGAUCAGUGGGUUGAGUGCCGAGUAACUCUCGCUGUGCGUGGUGUGCGUCUCGUUCCUCACGGUUCGUUGCGUGCUCAUGUGUGGCGUUGGAUGCCUUGGAUCACACUGCACCCCAAGUCCGCCGCUUUGCUAUAACUCUUCUUAGAGGGAUUCACGGCACUGAAGCCGUAAGAGACUGAGAGCAAUAACAGGUCUGUGAUGCCCUUAGAUGCUCUGGGCCGCACGCGCGCUACAAUGCCGGGCACAGCAGGUGUUUCUCCUGCUCCGACAGGAGCGGGUAACCCUCUGAAAGCCAGUGUUCUUGCAAGUGCUUCCUCCCUCGUGGAGUUGCACAGAGGCGUGCUUGGGCCUGGGACUUGCAAUUCUUUCCCACCAACGAGGAAUGCCUAGUAGCGGCGGGUCACUGAGCCCGCUGUGACUCAGUCCCUGCCCUUUGUACACACCGCCCGUCGCUACUACCGAUUGGGUGUACCAGUGAGAGCCUUGGACUGGCGUCCGUUGUUGCUCGCAAGAGUGACAAGCGGGUCCGACGGAAAGAGGUCCGAACUGGUGCACUUAGAGGAAGUAAAAGUCGUAACAAGGUUUCCGUAGGUGAACCUGCGGAAGGAUCAUUA
Molecule: ribosomal RNA, 731 nt
Filed under: Pallasea cancelloides
Lineage: Eukaryota; Metazoa; Arthropoda; Malacostraca; Amphipoda; Pallaseidae
Description: bacterial SSU rRNA
Rfam family: Eukaryotic small subunit ribosomal RNA
Source: RNAcentral